UUAAAAUCUAUGUUGAACUUCAUAUUGCUAGCUUCUUAAAUGGGCACACUUUAGAUAGUAAUGGAAAAUUCUCUGGGUAAAAAACUUUUUUGUGCGUUUAUGAUAGGAAGCAGGAAAGGGCAACAGUGUUCUGACCUAUUUUUGAAAUAAAGCUUUGCUCUAUAAAAAAAAACUUGCUGAUUCAUUCUAUCUGUCACUUAGCCAAGACUAAUUAUUGUCUUCUGUGUGCCAAGAACUACAGAGAAUCCACAGAGAUGAGCAAGAAAUGGUUCUUCUUUAAUAGGAGUUUAUUUCCUAGUAAGUAGAAUCACAAAGGAAGUAAAUGUGACAAAGUAUUCUAGAUGUUACAGUAGAAAUAUAAACUAAGAAGGUAUGGGUAUGGUUAAUUUCUACCCCAAAGUCAAGCUUCUUGCAAAAGCAAUGGUAGUGGAUAACUAUGAUAAUGAACACAUUUUCACCAAGAAGAUUACUACUUCUGUCUUAAUAAAGAUGUCAUAUUAUUGGAUCCCUGAUAACUGGAUUCCUGCAUUAUCAACUCUAACAGGAGCUCUUUUUGUGCUGUGCCUCUAUGCCGUUGCAUGGUGCCUCUUCAAAGAUUCUCCUGUUUGUUCAAGAUUAUUUCCCCACUGCCACAAACAUCACCAGAGCCAACCAAGUCUCACAACCAAAGGACCUGGUGUAGUACCAAGAUGGAGAACAGUGGGAAAGAGGUUGCACAGUACUGUCAUUAAGCACAUUGUAUAAACUUCCAGACAUUUUACAAGCAAGCUGCCCUUCCACCUGACCCAGCUUUCUCUUCUCACCACUGUCAUACUUUGGAACUGAACUCAGGUAUCUAUACUGCCACCCUCUCCAAUCCCACACCUGUCCCAAGUUAGAUAUAUCUAUAGAAACCUACACAUGCUUCAUAAUUGCAUUUAUCAUACCAUGUUAAUAUAUGUUAUGCACAUGCAUAUUAUAUGUACAUACAGAUGUGUGUAUAUGUGUUUUCCACCAUACUAUUCCUUUCACAUCUUGUACUAAUAAUUUUUUUUAACCUUGAAGAACACUGCUGUGGAGGUGUUCACACUUUCUCACACAUCCCAGUAUCAUAGAGUCUAAAGAUGGAAUAAGUGACUUGCUGGUUUCCCAUUUCAUCUUCUUCCGAAAUGCCUCUUUCUUCCUUCACAAAUUGCUGCCUUUUGAAGUAUCUAUUAUCAGACUUUAACAGUCAUUAAUUGCUGUUACUGUUAUCCUCAAAAUCAUCAAUGGCUUUAAUUUCUGGCCCACAAGGUUUCUUCCCUACCACUUUUCCUGGCAUGGUUUUGGCACGUUGAACCUCCACAAAAGUGACCAGCCAGUAUCAUGGCUGAUCAGAUCUUUUAACUCCUUUGUUCCUACUCUUUGGUCCUUCUCCCUGUUCCAAACAUCCAUUUCCAUGGUCUCACUCAAGACUUUGUCAUCAUCAGUAAUUGCAACACCUUCAAAAAAUCUAGAUUAGAAAUAGUCCAUUCCCUGAUGAUUACCCAACUUAAUCCAACAUAUUUAUAUGCUUAGUUAAGGCUCCAAGCUGAUGACCCUAUUAGUUUUUCUUUAUCCAUUACUUACUUCUUUCACGUUUCAUGUAUGGUUGGGAUUACAUUGUUUAGCACUAUUACACUCUUUGCAAACACUUAACUCCUUUGUCCCACAGCCUCCUUAAAACUUAGGAAAAAAUAUUAAUUCUGAUGAAAUCCAACUAGGUGCAGUCGACUCUACGACUGCACCUAAGCAGUAGUGUGUUCCUGUUGAAAAUAACACAGUUAUGCACUCUGAACUCAUUUCAGAUUGAUGACUCUGCUCUCAAAUGGUAGCUCACAUUAAUGUGUAUCAAAUUAAUACAGAUACACCUGACUACAGGUCCUAAAUAAACUCACUUUCCCCUUAUAGUAAAAACAGUUUCACAGCUCUCUAGCACUUCCACCUUUUCUCACUCUAAUCUGUGGUAUCUCCUCACAUUUCCUAAACAAAAAAGACACAGUUGGCUUCACAAACUCCUGGACUCCUAAAACCAACUCUACAGACAUAUCUGCAUCAGUACUACAAAGCCUGACCUUUCUCAUUCCAGAAGAUUCCUUGCUCCUUUCUAAGGUUGUUCUUUCCAUUUAUGCUUUGGGCAUCCAUCUCUCUGGUCUUCUCAUGGAAAAUUCUACUCUCUGUACUGGAUUAUUCACAUUGCCUGCCAUAACUUACAAUAUUCUACUUUCAAAAUACCUUCUCUAUUCUGUUCCUUCCUUCAGUAACCAACCCAUUUCUGUUAUUUUCAUAGUAAGUACACUUUAAAAAGAGUUGUCUAGACUAGCUAUAUACAAUGUGUUUUGCCUUCUAUAUAUCUAUUCCACUUACUCCGAAGAAGGUUAUGUGGCAACACUUCAUUGAAAUGACCUUAUCCAUGUUUGCAAUGACCUACAAUUUAGAGGAAAUGUGGCCCAAGCCCAAUUUUUCUAAACGUAUUGUUACGGAGCCAAUAAAAUGUAACAGUGCACACAUUUCUUACCUGCCCUGGAGACACAGUGUAAUAGUGACGAGUGUCUUGGAUAUGACUUGGGUGAAGCUUUAAUAUCAACAAGUAAAUUGCUAUGAAACUGUAAGGAAGCAUCCUAUAUGUUGUAAAUGUAUUUACUUAAAACAUGGUGAAUAGUAAGAAAAAGAUAAUCAUUUGAAUCAGUUAUAGAUUUCUUGUUAUCUAAAUGAUUCUAGUAUAGCAGGCCUAUGAAUAUCAAAAUGGUAAUCCUAUUAGGAAUUAUAAGGUCAUUGAUAAUGUCAGCCUCUAUAUACAGGAAUACAAAUAUAAAAUGGAAUAAUAAUUGUAAAGUAUUUCCUCUAGCCAUCCAUAGUUCCUGAUGCAUGCCCAACUGACCCUGGUAAGAAGGGCACUACAAUGUCAAUGUUCUUAUGUCUAAAAAAGUAUCCCAAAAACAUGGAACAAAUUUUACCAUAUUGAGAGAAGAAUUAUGGUGUAAUUAAUUAAU
RNAcentral lists this long non-coding RNA (2990 nucleotides) under Callithrix jacchus (white-tufted-ear marmoset). RNAcentral's name for it is "lncRNA (ENSCJAG00000085277.1)". The record is from RNAcentral. Lineage: Eukaryota; Metazoa; Chordata; Mammalia; Primates; Cebidae.